Molecule: long non-coding RNA, 662 nt
Filed under: Marmota monax (woodchuck)
Lineage: Eukaryota; Metazoa; Chordata; Mammalia; Rodentia; Sciuridae
Source: RNAcentral
CUCACUCUGUGCCAGGCCUGUCUAUCAAGUGCCUCGCAGGCAAUGUCUCAUUUGAUCCCCAAACCCAGUGAGUGGUCUUGUCUUCUUCAUGGGGAAUCCAGGCUUCCCCAGGGCUUGACCAUAGGUCUAUGUGAAAACUGAAUGAACAGCACCCUGGCACACAGUGACAACUGGAAAACGAGAAGACUUCUCAUAUUUAAGAUUAUGACAAUUGUGGGGCAUGAUGGCGCACGCCUGUAAUCCCAGGGGCUCAGGAGGCUGAGGCAGGAGGAUCUUAAGUUCAAAGCCAGCCUCAGCAAUUUAGCAAGGUACUAAGCAACUCAGUGAGACCCUGUCUCUAAAUAAAAUACAAAGAGAGGCUGGGAAUGUGGCUCAGUGGUUAAGUGCUCCUGGGUUCAAUUCCUAGUACCAAAAAAAAAAAAAAAAACAGAUUAUGCCAAUCCUUUAUAGCCACACACAGAGAGGUUUUGAAAGGAGAUCUCUUUAUGUUGCCCAGGCUGGUCUCGAUCUUGGGUUCAAGUGGUUAUCCUGCCUCAGCUUCCCAAGUACUGGUAUUACAGGUGUGCAACACCGUACCUAGUUCAUACCUACAUAUCUAAAUAAUAAUAUAUGUGGAGAAGAACAUCUGAAAAUAUAUAAUCAAGCUAUGGAAUGGAGAAACU